UCAGUAGUAGCCUAACAACGUGUCCCGGCGCCCGUGUCAUUCAUUUCGCUUCAUCUCUCCUCGAAGGCGUUUUAUCGUCUCCCAUCAUCACAAGCAGGGUGCUGAUGCUUGAUGGUUUUUGAUAGCAAAUGAGAGAAAACCGUGAAAGAAGGCUCACUGUGCUUUAAGUUAUCUGCAGCAGCAGAAGUUUUAUGAAAUCAAGAAAGAUGAGCUUUCCAGGGGCUGUUAUCAUCCUGUUUUAGAGGACACGUACUGAGAUCCCCCCAAACCUUCACUCCAUCAAGAAUAGAAACAUUUCUGUGG
Long non-coding RNA from Hyaena hyaena (striped hyena), 303 nucleotides. RefSeq lists it as uncharacterized. The record is from RefSeq and is a predicted model, not a curated record. Lineage: Eukaryota; Metazoa; Chordata; Mammalia; Carnivora; Hyaenidae. The transcript is spliced from 3 exons.